Non-coding RNA from Glossina austeni, 89 nucleotides. NCBI's taxonomy places the organism in Eukaryota, Metazoa, Arthropoda, Insecta, Diptera, Glossinidae. The record is from Rfam.
GAGGUAGUUUUAGCACGUAGGCGCCAUGGAUGGCGCCUCGUACACGCUGCUGGCACGGACCAGCAGUGUCUUUCGAAAAUUUCUACCUU